Molecule: long non-coding RNA, 197 nt
Filed under: Mustela putorius furo (domestic ferret)
Lineage: Eukaryota; Metazoa; Chordata; Mammalia; Carnivora; Mustelidae
Description: lncRNA (ENSMPUG00000030307.1)
Source: RNAcentral
GCAACUGGCAACUGUGUAGGGAAGAAACCAGACAAACACACAUGGGAGGCAAGGAAACAUGUAAAGAGACCACAGCAACUGACAGGACCAAAGGUGCCAAAGUACACCUGUCAACCUUUGUUCUAUAAUCUACCUGAGGCAGCAGAUAAGAACCCGAAGAGAGCUUUGGAGGAAAGGAAACAGGGCUCCAACCCCAG